This is a long non-coding RNA of Gastrolobium bilobum, 710 nucleotides long. RefSeq lists it as uncharacterized. Lineage: Eukaryota; Viridiplantae; Streptophyta; Magnoliopsida; Fabales; Fabaceae. The transcript has 4 exons. The record is from RefSeq and is a predicted model, not a curated record.
CAGAAUCAGAGAAAAGAAGAGAGGAAGAAGAAGGAGAAGGAGGGAAAGGGAGGAAGAGAGAGAGAGAGCAAAUCUCAACCAUUUUGAGUGAUUCCAAAGCCUAAACCACUCCAAAUCUCCUCCUCUUUCAUAAUCCUAGCUUUGUUUUGAGUGGGGAGCAUUGUGGAGAGAGAUAUUACCUCUCAAAAAUUCGGCCCUUUGGUGAAAAUUGGGGUUUUGGGAAGUUCUACCUCCAUGGGAGCUUGAGGAACACUCCCAUCAUUGUUGUGCAACCAUUGGUGGAUCGAGACAUUUGGACCAACCGUGAGUGAUCAACCAUUGGAGCAAGCUAUGGAGCUUGAUUAGCUCCAUUGGAUAGGUUUUGUUUGAGAAGUGAAGUAUUGUAAUUGACUGACUGUGGAACCUGUUGGUGGUGAACAAAGGUCAAGUUGAAGCUUGAGGUAAGGAUGCUGCAGGAGCCUCUGGUGGCAAGUGGCCAUAUCUGGAUUAUGCAUGAGAUGUGGCAUUCCUUUUGAGUUUAUGCAUGCCUUUUGUAGUUGACAUGUAUAGGAGUUUAUUUUGAAAGCCCUUGGUCAUUUGUAUGCCUUGAUUCAUUGAAUGAACUUAGCCUAUGCUCAUGCCUUUGGUUACACCUUUUGUUGAUGGGAGCCAAGGGAAUGAUCAUAGUGUUUUGUAAGCUAAGUUCUAUGAUUUGUAAAGGAUAUGUAAAG